GCCUGGAUGGCUCAGUCGGUUGAGCGACUGACUUCGGUUCAGGUCAUGAUCCACGGUCUGUGAGUUCGAGCCCCACAUCGGGCU
Molecule: transfer RNA, 84 nt
Filed under: Felis catus (domestic cat)
Lineage: Eukaryota; Metazoa; Chordata; Mammalia; Carnivora; Felidae
Rfam family: tRNA
About the family: Transfer RNA (tRNA) molecules are approximately 80 nucleotides in length. Their secondary structure includes four short double-helical elements and three loops (D, anti-codon, and T loops). Further hydrogen bonds mediate the characteristic L-shaped molecular structure. tRNAs have two regions of fundamental functional importance: the anti-codon, which is responsible for specific mRNA codon recognition, and the 3' end, to which the tRNAs corresponding amino acid is attached (by aminoacyl-tRNA synthetases). tRNAs cope with the degeneracy of the genetic code in two manners: having more than one tRNA (with a specific anti-codon) for a particular amino acid; and 'wobble' base-pairing, i.e. permitting non-standard base-pairing at the 3rd anti-codon position.
Source: Rfam by way of RNAcentral